UACGAAGGGUGCAAGCGUUGUCCGGAAUUAUUGGGCGUAAAGCGCGCGCAGGCGGUUCCUUAAGUCUGGUGUAUAAGCCCAGGGCUCAACCUUGGGACGCACGGGAAACUGGGGGACUGGAGUGCAGGAGAGGGAAGCGGAAUUCCACGUGUAGCGGUGAAAUGCGUAGAGAUGUGGAGGAACACCAGUGGCGAAGGCGGCUUUCUGGCCUGUAACUGACGCUGAGGCGCGAAAGCGUGGGGAGCAAACAGG
RNAcentral lists this ribosomal RNA (252 nucleotides) under uncultured bacterium. RNAcentral's name for it is "partial 16S ribosomal RNA". It matches the Rfam family "Bacterial small subunit ribosomal RNA", at positions 524 to 776 of the family's 1533-position model. The record is from RNAcentral.